Pleuronectes platessa (European plaice) is the source of this 899-nucleotide long non-coding RNA. RefSeq lists it as uncharacterized. The record is from RefSeq and is a predicted model, not a curated record. The transcript is spliced from 2 exons. NCBI's taxonomy places the organism in Eukaryota, Metazoa, Chordata, Actinopteri, Pleuronectiformes, Pleuronectidae.
UUGGCAUGGAGCAGCUGAGCCUGUUGGACAGGUAAGAGUGCCACCCCUGUAAAGUGAUCCGGGCUCGACACACCCGAAAGGUGCAAACCACCCCCAACUCUAGAAGCUGUUGCCAACCGGACACGGCCGCUGUCUCGGCUCCCCCCCACUCUCGGACAUUUGCUGCGGGUCCCAGCGUUGGAACCCUUACAUGAAAUUCAGCCAAACUUUUGACCAUUUAGCUUUAGGUAUAUUGUUGUCAUAUCAACUUGAAGCUCCAGCUACAAACUAUGACACAGAUCAAUGAAGACUGCUUUUAGAAGUCUAAAGCUUUGCAAAUGGUACUCGUCAUUUUCUGCAAAUUAAUCCAUAGUUUUGAAAGAUGCAUUCCCUCACCAGGCUAUGAUCUGUAACCUGCUAGUCAAUAUGCCAUGUGCGAGCAGACCAGGUGCAGAAACAGGCUCAUUGUGAGCCCGUAAAUACUAUGAUAAACCACUGAUUAUUGGAUGGCAAGGAUAGUUGAUGGCUCCCAGUAAAUGUAAUUGAUGUAAACUAAAGUGUGUUGUGUGCAUUUACUUUAAAAGUGUCAUGAUUCUGACCCGGCUUCCCGUAUGACCCAUUUAAAGACUGUUUUAGUCCUUUCUGUUUAUGCACCUCGUAAGAAGAUAUCAGCGGAUUCCUAGGCUUAAAACAAGAUGUAAAUGACCUUGUUUCAAAUCGAAUAUGAAUGUCGGGGCUUGGGGACAUUUGGAUGACAUGAACAAACAGUAUGGAGGCAUGUUAUUGUUCUCUGUUGUUUUAUUACUUCUGAACACUCUGUAUGCAAUACCAGAUAAGCAUUGGUGAAUGUUACAAUCUUUGUAAAAACUGCUAAAGUAAGUUUUUUGAAGAAAUGUCUAAUAAAACGCUUGCUGAAUGAG